RNAcentral lists this ribosomal RNA (503 nucleotides) under uncultured bacterium. Its description in RNAcentral is "partial 16S ribosomal RNA". It matches the Rfam family "Bacterial small subunit ribosomal RNA", at positions 30 to 523 of the family's 1533-position model. The record is from RNAcentral.
AUUGAACGCUGGCGGCAGGCUUAACACAUGCAAGUCGAGCGGGGUGAUGGUGCUUGCACUAUCACUUAGCGGCGGACGGGUGAGUAAUGCUUAGGAAUCUGCCUAUUAGUGGGGGACAACAUCUCGAAAGGGAUGCUAAUACCGCAUACGUCCUACGGGAGAAAGCAGGGGAUCACUUGUGACCUUGCGCUAAUAGAUGAGCCUAAGUCGGAUUAGCUAGUUGGUGGGGUAAAGGCCUACCAAGGCGACGAUCUGUAGCGGGUCUGAGAGGAUGAUCCGCCACAUUGGGACUGAGACACGGCCCAGACUCCUACGGGAGGCAGCAGUGGGGAAUAUUGGACAAUGGGGGGAACCCUGAUCCAGCCAUGCCGCGUGUGUGGAGAAGGCCUUAUGGUUGUAAAGCACUUUAAGCGAGGAGGAGGCUCUUUUGGUUAAUACCCAAGAUGAGUGGACGUUACUCGCAGAAUAAGCACCGGCUAACUCUGUGCCAGCCGCCGCUGUAA